Zophobas morio is the source of this 308-nucleotide long non-coding RNA. RefSeq lists it as uncharacterized. The transcript is spliced from 2 exons. Lineage: Eukaryota; Metazoa; Arthropoda; Insecta; Coleoptera; Tenebrionidae. The record is from RefSeq and is a predicted model, not a curated record.
ACAUUGUGGUUGUUUAUUCGUUAGUAUCAACACUUCAGGAAAACAUAUUCAGUUUCUUAAGUGGACAACCAACUUGCUAAAAAAUGGCCAAGAAAAUCUACAAAUUAAUAAUGUACAGUGCUGCUGUGACUUCUUGUCUUAUUGCCUGCUAUCCAUGGCUUCUUGUUACUGGUUCGAGGAUGUAAAUUUUCGAAGAAAUGGUUAUCUCGGAUUUCGACCGGCAAAUAUACCUACUUACUUAACUAUGUACUAUAUCAAUAAGCACCUUGCACUUUACACUGCAUAAUAAUAAAAACAUAUUAAAAAUU